GAUGAACGCUGGCGGCGUGCCUAACACAUGCAAGUCGAGCGGUAAGGCCCUUCGGGGUACACGAGCGGCGGACGGCUGAGUAACACGUGGGAACGUGCCCCAAAGUGAGGGAUAAGCUCCAGAAAUGGAGUCUAAUCCCGCAUAUGGCCUUCGGAUUAAGGCAUUUAUACGCUUUGGGAGCGGCCUGCGUACGAUUAGAUUGUUGGUGAGGUAAAGGCUCACCAAGUCGACGAUCGUUAACUGGUCUGAGAGGAUGAUCAGUCAGACUGGAACUGAGACACGGUCCAGACUCCUACGGGAGGCAGCAGUGAGGAAUCUUCCACAAUGGGGGCAACCCUGAUGGAGCAACGCCGCGUGCAGGAUGAAGGCCUUCGGGUUGUAAACUGCUUUUAUUAGCGAAGAAUAUGACGGUAACUAAUGAAUAAGGGUCGGCUAACUACGUGCCAGCAGCCGCGGUAA
Molecule: ribosomal RNA, 459 nt
Filed under: uncultured bacterium
Lineage: Bacteria
Description: partial 16S ribosomal RNA
Rfam family: Bacterial small subunit ribosomal RNA
Source: RNAcentral